Paramuricea clavata is the source of this 334-nucleotide non-coding RNA. NCBI's taxonomy places the organism in Eukaryota, Metazoa, Cnidaria, Anthozoa, Malacalcyonacea, Plexauridae. The record is from the annotation of a GenBank genome assembly.
GGCCCAUGUAAGGUAAUCCAUGCACUCCUUGGAUUCUGGAUUCCACUCCUUGGAUUCCGGACAGUUCCACUCCUUGGAUUCCAGAUCCCACUACUAUAGACUAAUUGGAUUUACUCAGGAUUCCAGAAAAUUAGCCCAAAAUAAGGAUUCAGGAUUCCUCCGAUGUUUGGAUUCUGGAUUCCUCGAUUACCGUACAUGGGGCCACCUGAAUAUCACCAACAUUCAAUAUUUUAACCUGGAAAGAUAUUAUUAUUCACCAUGCACCUUGAAUGGUCCACAACAACGUUCAUCAACUAUAGCAACCUACCAAAAUCGUGAACGAAUCCCUACGAAC